Molecule: microRNA precursor, 99 nt
Filed under: Marmota monax (woodchuck)
Lineage: Eukaryota; Metazoa; Chordata; Mammalia; Rodentia; Sciuridae
Source: RNAcentral
AGUAGAAUUGCUGAUCAUAUGGUAAUUUUGUUUAACUUUUUGAGGAACUUUCAAACUCUUUCCCACGGUAGCUGACCAUUUUAUGAUCUCACUAGCAAU